UCAGAUUGAACGCUGGCGGCAGGCCUAACACGAUGCAAGUCGAGCGGUAGAGAGAAGCUUGCUUCUCUUGAGAGCGGCGGACGGGUGAGUAAUGCCUAGGAAUCUGGCCUGGUAGUGGGGGAUAACCGUUCGGAAACGAACGCUAAUACCGCAUACGUCCUACGGGAGAAAGCAGGGGACCUUCGGGCCUUGCGCUAUCAGAUGAGCCUAGGUCGGAUUAGCUAGUUGGUGAGGUAAUGGCUCACCAAGGCGACGAUCCGUAACUGGUCUGAGAGGACGACCAGCCACACUGGGACUGAGACACGGCCCAGACUCCUACGGGAGGCAGCAGUGGGGAAUUUUGGACAAUGGGCGCAAGCCUGAUCCAGCAAUGCCGCGUGCAGGAUGAAGGCCUUCGGGUUGUAAACUGCUUUUGUACGGAACGAAACGGUGAGCUCUAAUACAGUUUGCUAAUGACGGUACCGUAAGAAUAAGCACCGGCUAACUACGUG
RNAcentral lists this ribosomal RNA (491 nucleotides) under uncultured bacterium. RNAcentral's name for it is "bacterial SSU rRNA". It matches the Rfam family "Bacterial small subunit ribosomal RNA", at positions 24 to 507 of the family's 1533-position model. The record is from RNAcentral.